CCUACGGGAGGCAGCAGUGGGGAAUAUUGCACAAUGGGCGCAAGCCUGACGCAGCGAUGCCGCGUGUAGGAUGAAGGUCUUCGGGUCGUAAAGCACUUUCAGCAGGGAGGAAGGGUCACUGUUCUAAUCCUCUGUGAAUUGACGUUACCUGCAAAAGAAGCACCGGCUAACUCCGUGCCAGCAGCCGCGGUAAUACGGAGGGUGCAAGCGUUAAUCGGAAUUACUGGGCGUAAAGCGCUCGCAGGCGGUAUGUCAAGUCAGGGGUGAAAUCCCCGGGCUCAACGUGGGAACGGCAUUUGAAACUGGCAAACUGGAGUGUGGGAGAGGAGAGGAGAAUUCCAGGUGUAGGGGUGAAAGCUGUAGAUAGCUGGAGGAACACCAGUGGCGAAGGCGACCCCCUGGCACAUAACUGACGCUGAGGUGCGAAAGCGUGGGUAGCAAACAGGAUUAGAUACCCGUGUAGUC
Molecule: ribosomal RNA, 465 nt
Filed under: uncultured bacterium
Lineage: Bacteria
Description: partial 16S ribosomal RNA
Rfam family: Bacterial small subunit ribosomal RNA
Source: RNAcentral